This 497-nucleotide ribosomal RNA is filed under the name uncultured bacterium. RNAcentral describes it as "partial 16S ribosomal RNA". It matches the Rfam family "Bacterial small subunit ribosomal RNA", at positions 28 to 507 of the family's 1533-position model. The record is from RNAcentral.
GAUGAACGCUGGCGGCGUGCCUAAUACAUGCAAGUCGAGCGAACAGACGAGGAGCUUGCUCCUCUGACGUUAGCGGCGGACGGGUGAGUAACACGUGGAUAACCUACCUAUAAGACUGGGAUAACUUCGGGAAACCGGAGCUAAUACCGGAUAAUAUAUUGAACCGCAUGGUUCAAUAGUGAAAGACGGUUUUGCUGUCACUUAUAGAUGGAUCCGCGCCGCAUUAGCUAGUUGGUAAGGUAACGGCUUACCAAGGCAACGAUGCGUAGCCGACCUGAGAGGGUGAUCGGCCACACUGGAACUGAGACACGGUCCAGACUCCGACAGGAAGCAGCAGUAGGGAAUCUUCCGCGAUGGGCGAAAGCGUGACGGAGCAACGCCGCGUGAGUGAUGAAGGUCUUCUGAUGGUAAAACUCUGUUAUUAGGGAAGAACAAAUGUGUAGGUAACUAUGCACGUCUUGACGGUACCUAAUCAGAAAGCCACGGCUAACUACGUG